CAACUGUAAAAAACUGGGAGGGUAGAGUCUGGAAAGAGGGAAGGGUUUUUGCAUCAAAAAUGGAGUUUCAAUGAGCGCAUAAAGACAGCUAACUUGCAUACUGAAAGUGCAAACACACACAGAUGAAAUGGGUAGUGAUACAGAGUGCAGCAGUUACAGUGGUUUUGAGAGCUGUCUGGAAGUGGAGGACUUCUCCCCACCAGAAGCCCCUGAAUCGCACUGUGAUCAUAUUGACGACAGUGCAGGUCCAGCGCCUUAUCAGUUUAUCAGGAGAAAGUGAAGACGAAACUGAUGAAGUGCAUAUCAAAGUCGUCCCGCACUGAACAGGUGUUCAUGUGUUAACUGCUCCAGACUCAGUCCCUGGGGGAAUGUAUGUUGUAAAGACAUACCACAGGUGAUGCACAGAUGUGGACAGGUGGAUGGCGUUGCCUGUAUAACAGAUCACCCAGGUUUUGAGCCUGUCGCUCUUAACCCAUACGUCCUGCAGGCAGUGUAUGGCACAUAUCGCCAGUUGUUUGGAGAGAUGAGAAACCCUGUCCUCAACAGGUCAGUUUUGUUAAACACUAUUAAAAAUAACUGUAUUGUUACAUGUCUGUAUGUUAUCAAAACUUUUAA
Long non-coding RNA from Cyprinus carpio (common carp), 615 nucleotides. RefSeq lists it as uncharacterized. The record is from RefSeq and is a predicted model, not a curated record. The transcript has 3 exons. NCBI's taxonomy places the organism in Eukaryota, Metazoa, Chordata, Actinopteri, Cypriniformes, Cyprinidae.